This 261-nucleotide ribosomal RNA is filed under the name uncultured prokaryote. RNAcentral describes it as "partial 16S ribosomal RNA". It matches the Rfam family "Bacterial small subunit ribosomal RNA", at positions 524 to 784 of the family's 1533-position model. The record is from RNAcentral.
UACGGAGGAUCCGAGCGUUAUCCGGAUUUAUUGGGCUUAAAGGGUGCGCAGGCGGGAGAUUAAGUCGGCGGUGAAAUUUUGCAGCUCAACUGUAAAAGUGCCUUCGAAACUGGUUUCCUUGAGUGUGGAUGAAGUAGGCGGAAUUUGUGGUGUAGCGGUGAAAUGCAUAGAUAUCACGAGGAACUCCGAUUGCGCAGGCAGCUUACUAAACCACUACUGACGCUCAUGCACGAAGGCGUGGGGAUCAAACAGGAUUAGAUA